This 427-nucleotide long non-coding RNA is filed under the name Panax ginseng (ginseng). RNAcentral describes it as "long non-coding RNA (PGIN_LNC005452)". Lineage: Eukaryota; Viridiplantae; Streptophyta; Magnoliopsida; Apiales; Araliaceae. The record is from RNAcentral.
UUAAAUAUUAAUUGAUUUUAUCUUAUACAAUUGUGUUUAAAUUAAAAAAAAAAGGUAAAUGAUUUUGUUUCCCUCUUUUCUUCCUUGUUUUGUUUGGAAGAUUAAAUUCUUUUAGUAGAUAAUUAAAUAACUGAUAAAAUUAAAAUUGAGGAAGAUAAUUCCUUUUGUUACGGAGCGGGAAGCUACUUGGGAGAUGGAGGAGUCUAUUCGAGCGGAAUAUCCGCAUCUUUUUUAUAAUUAGGUACUUUUCAUUCUUUUGAUUCCGGGGACGGAAUCCUUUUUAAGGAGUAGGUGAUGUAAUACCCGAAAAAAAUAAUAUUAAAUAAUAAAAAUUAUUUUGUUUGAAAGCAUAUUAAUUGGACUUUGUCCAUUAUUUUGGGUCAAAAUAGUUAUUUAAUUUGUGUGGGCUAAUAAAUAUUAAUAAGAG